This 497-nucleotide ribosomal RNA is filed under the name uncultured bacterium. RNAcentral describes it as "partial 16S ribosomal RNA". It matches the Rfam family "Bacterial small subunit ribosomal RNA", at positions 28 to 507 of the family's 1533-position model. The record is from RNAcentral.
GAUGAACGCUGGCGGCGUGCCUAAUACAUGCAAGUCGAGCGAACAGACGAUGAGCUUGCUCCUCGGACGUUAGCGGCGGACGUGUGAGUAACACGUGUAUAACCUACCUAUAAGACUGGGAUAACUUCGGGACACCGGAGCUAAUACCGUAGAAUAUAUUGAACCGCGGGGGUCAAUAGUGAAAGACGGCUUUUCUGUCACUUAUAGAUGGAUCCGCGCCGCAUGAGGUGGUUGGUAAGUUAACGGCUUAUCAAGGCGACGAUGCGUAGCCGACCUGAGAGGCUGAUAGGCGACCCUGGAACUGAGCCACGGUCCAGGCUACUACGGGAGGCCGCAGUAGGGAAUCUGACGCAGUGGGCGAAAGCAUGACGGAGCAACGCGGAGCGAGUUAUGACGGUCUUCGGAGCGUAAAAAUCUGUUAUGAGGGAAGAACAACUGUGUAAGUAAAUGUGCCCGGAUUGACGGUAACUAAUAAGAAAGCCACGGCUAACUACGUG